RNAcentral lists this signal recognition particle RNA (219 nucleotides) under Chlorocebus sabaeus (green monkey). RNAcentral's name for it is "Metazoan signal recognition particle RNA". It matches the Rfam family "Metazoan signal recognition particle RNA". Rfam says of the family: The signal recognition particle (SRP) is a universally conserved ribonucleoprotein. It is involved in the co-translational targeting of proteins to membranes. The record is from Rfam by way of RNAcentral. Lineage: Eukaryota; Metazoa; Chordata; Mammalia; Primates; Cercopithecidae.
GCCGGGCGCGGUGGCUCAAGCCUGUAAUCCUAGCACUUUGGGAGGCCGAGACGGGCGGAUCACGAGGUCAGGAGAUCGAGACCAUCCUGGCUAACAUGGUGAAACCCCGUCUCUACUAAAAAAUACANNNNNNNNNNUGUAUUUUUUAGUAGAGACGGGGUUUCACCAUGUUAGCCAGGAUGGUCUCGAUCUCCUGACCUCGUGAUCCGCCCGUCUCGG